This 398-nucleotide ribosomal RNA is filed under the name uncultured bacterium. RNAcentral describes it as "bacterial SSU rRNA". It matches the Rfam family "Bacterial small subunit ribosomal RNA", at positions 362 to 777 of the family's 1533-position model. The record is from RNAcentral.
UAUUGCACAAUGGGGGAAACCCCGAUGCAGCGACGCCGCGUGAGCGAAGAAGUAUCUCGGUAUGUAAAGCUCUAUCAGCAGGGAAGAAAAUGACGGUACCUGACUAAGAAGCCCCGGCUAACUACGUGCCAGCAGCCGCGGUAAUACGUAGGGGGCAAGCGUUAUCCGGAUUUACUGGGUGUAAAGGGAGCGCAGGCGGCGCGGUAAGUCUGAUGUGAAAGCCCGGGGCUCAACCCCGGGACUGCAUUGGAAACUGUCGUGCUGGAGUGUCGGAGGGGCAAGUGGAAUUCCUAGUGUAGCGGUGAAAUGCGUAGAUAUUAGGAGGAACACCAGUGGCGAAGGCGGCUUGCUGGACGACAACUGACGCUGAGGCCCGAAAGCGUGGGGAGCAAACAGGA